AGAGUUUGAUCCUGGCUCAGGAUGAACGCUAGCGGCAGGCCUAAUACAUGCAAGUCGAACGGUAACAUGAGUAGCAAUACUUGAUGACGAGUGGCGCACGGGUGCGUAACACGUAUGCAACCUACCUGAAACUUGGGAAUAGCCCUCCGAAAGGAGGAUUAAUACCCAGUAUUAUUGAGAGAAGGCAUCUUUUUUCAAUGAAAGUUCCGACGGUUUCAGAUGGGCAUGCGUCCGAUUAGCUAGUUGGCGGGGUAAAAGCCCACCAAGGCUACGAUCGGUAGGGGUCCUGAGAGGGUUAACCCCCACACUGGUACUGAGACACGGACCAGACUCCUACGGGAGGCAGCAGUAAGGAAUAUUGGACAAUGGUCGCAAGACUGAUCCAGCCAUGCCGCGUGAAGGAUGACGGCCCUAUGGGUUGUAAACUUCUUUUGAACGGGAGAAAACCCCCUUACGUGUAAGGGGCUGAUAGUACCGUUAGAAUAAGGAUCGGCUAACUCCGUGCCAGCAGCCGCGGUAAUACGGAGGAUCCAAGCGUUAUCCGGAUUUAUUGGGUUUAAAGGGUGCGUAGGUGGCCUAUUAAGUCAGUGGUGAAAUCCUACAGCUUAACUGUGGAAUUGCCAUUGAUACUGAUGGGCUUGAAUACGGGUGAAGUGGGCGGAAUAUGACAUGUAGCGGUGAAAUGCUUAGAUAUGUCAUAGAACACCGAUUGCGAAGGCAGCUCACUAAACUGUCAUUGACACUGAGGCACGAAAGCGUGGGUAGCAAACAGGAUUAGAUACCCUGGUAGUCC
RNAcentral lists this ribosomal RNA (793 nucleotides) under uncultured bacterium. Its description in RNAcentral is "bacterial SSU rRNA". It matches the Rfam family "Bacterial small subunit ribosomal RNA", at positions 8 to 796 of the family's 1533-position model. The record is from RNAcentral.